RNAcentral lists this long non-coding RNA (740 nucleotides) under Vigna radiata. RNAcentral describes it as "long non-coding RNA (VRAD_LNC011855)". The record is from RNAcentral. Lineage: Eukaryota; Viridiplantae; Streptophyta; Magnoliopsida; Fabales; Fabaceae.
AAAAUCAGCCUUACAAAAUGUUAACACUCUGGCAAGUGUACCAGAUCGUUCCAAGUAAUAUAAUUGGUAAAUCGUUCAUGCAAAUUGAAAUCGUAAGACUUGUAAAGAAAAUUAAUUUGUAGUUUGGAUAUAAAAACAAAAAGUAAACAUGCAAAUGCAAUUGAUUCAGUUGAUGAGAAAAAGACUAUGGAUGAAUGGAGUUGUUGGAGUUUACAAUUUCAUCUUAUGCACUCUCUCUUAUCUACUCCUCUUAUUUGAUUUGCUUUGUUAUCUAAUUGUCAUGCAAACUUUCUUAGUCUACCCUUAACUCGAUCCCUCGGCGAAGAAAGCCUAUUACUAAUUAUUGGCUUGUUAUCCCUAACCUCCCCUAGUAAUUAGUAAUGCAUGAUAAACAAAAGCAAAAACAAUUUGUUGGUGUCGGAGGGGUAUGGUUUUCGAAGAGUAAAACGCAGCUGAAUUAAAACACAGAGAGCGUAAAGCGUAUUAGGUCACAGUUGAAACGAUUUUGGCCUUUUUUACAAAAGUAAUUUUCUUUCGGAAAAUUAACCAAACAGUUGAUAUGCGUUAAGUAAAAUAAGUGUAGGGAAUAGAAAAAUCACACAGAUAUUUUUAUACUGGUUCGAUUCAACAGAAUCUACGUCCAGUCGUUAAUCACUACAAAUAGUGAUUAACAGUUCCACUAAAAAUAGUUUAACAAGUUACAAUCAAAUGAACAGAAAUAGAACGAAAAGAACCACUCU